Molecule: signal recognition particle RNA, 97 nt
Filed under: Ignavibacteriaceae bacterium
Lineage: Bacteria; Pseudomonadati; Ignavibacteriota; Ignavibacteria; Ignavibacteriales; Ignavibacteriaceae
Description: signal recognition particle sRNA small type
Rfam family: Bacterial small signal recognition particle RNA
About the family: The signal recognition particle (SRP) is a universally conserved ribonucleoprotein involved in the co-translational targeting of proteins to membranes.
Source: RNAcentral
AACCGGGUACCGGUUAACAUAUUAGUGCCUAAUCCCGUCAGGUCCGGAAGGAAGCAGCGGUAAGUACGAAGUAUGUGUAACCGUCUGCCCGGUUUUU